This 253-nucleotide ribosomal RNA is filed under the name uncultured bacterium. RNAcentral describes it as "partial 16S ribosomal RNA". It matches the Rfam family "Bacterial small subunit ribosomal RNA", at positions 524 to 776 of the family's 1533-position model. The record is from RNAcentral.
UACGUAGGUGGCAAGCGUUAUCCGGAUUUAUUGGGCGUAAAGAGAACGCAGGCGGUCUUUUAAGUCUGAUGUGAAAGCCUUCGGCUUAACCGGAGUAGUGCAUUGGAAACUGGGAGACUUGAGUGCAGAAGAGGAGAGUGGAACUCCAUGUGCAGCGGUGAAAUGCGUAGAUAUAUGGAAGAACACCAGUGGCGAAAGCGGCUCUCUGGUCUGUAACUGACGCUGAGGUUCGAAAGCGUGGGUAGCAAACAGG